AAUCAACGCUGGCGGCGUGCCUCAGACAUGCAAGUCGAACGCGAAAGUCCCCUUCGGGGGACAAGUAGAGUGGCGCACGGGUGAGUAACACGUAGGUAAUCUACCUUCGGAUGGGGAAUAACAACCGGAAACGGUUGCUAAUACCGCAUAAUGCAGCGGCACCUAAUGGUGACAGUUGUUAAAGCGGGGGAUCGAAAGACCUCGCGUCUGAAGAGGAGCCUGCGGCGGAUUAGCAGUUGGUAAGGUAACGGCUUACCAAGGCGACGAUCCGUAGCCGGCCUGAGAGGGGCGGUCGGCCACACUGACACUGACAUACGGGUCAGACUCCUACGGGAGGCAGCAGUCGGGAAUUUUGGGCAAUGGGCGAAAGCCUGACCCAGCAACGCCGCGUGAAGGAU
RNAcentral lists this ribosomal RNA (398 nucleotides) under uncultured bacterium. RNAcentral describes it as "bacterial SSU rRNA". It matches the Rfam family "Bacterial small subunit ribosomal RNA", at positions 32 to 409 of the family's 1533-position model. The record is from RNAcentral.